This 615-nucleotide ribosomal RNA is filed under the name Ramaria largentii. Its description in RNAcentral is "eukaryotic LSU rRNA". It matches the Rfam family "Eukaryotic large subunit ribosomal RNA", at positions 65 to 657 of the family's 3401-position model. Lineage: Eukaryota; Fungi; Basidiomycota; Agaricomycetes; Gomphales; Gomphaceae. The record is from RNAcentral.
CUAACAAGGAUUCCCCUAGUAACGGCGAGUGAAGCGGGAAGAGCUCAAAUUUGUAAUCUGGCGGCCCUUGGCCGUCCGAGUUGUAGUCUGGAGAAGCGUUUUCCGCGCCGGACCGUGUACAAGUCCCUUGGAACAGGGCGUCACAGAGGGUGAGAAUCCCGUCUUUGACACGGACUGCCGGUGCUUUGCGAUGCGCUCUCGAAGAGUCGAGUUGUUUGGGAAUGCAGCUCAAAACGGGUGGUAAAUUCCAUCUAAAGCUAAAUAUGGGCGAAAGACCGAUAGCGAACAAGUACCGUGAGGGAAAGAUGAAAAGCACUUUGGAAAGAGAGUUAAACAGUACGUGAAAUUGUUGAAAGGGAAACGCUUGAAGUCAGUCGCGUCUCCCGGGAUUCAGCCUCGGCUUCUGCAGGGGCGUACUUCCCGGGGCGACGGGCCAGCAUCGAUUUCGAUCGUCGGAGAAGGGCCUUGGGAACGUGGCACCUUCGGGUGUGUUAUAGCCCGGGGUCGCAUGCGACGGUUGGGAUCGAGGACCGCAGCACGCCUUUAACAGGCCGGGGUUCGCCCACGUAACGUGCUUAGGAUGCUGGCGUAAUGGCUUUAAGCGACCCGUCUUGA